GAUUAACGCUAGCGGCAGGCAUAAUACAUGCAAGUUGAACGGCAGCACAGGUAGCAAUACUGGGUGGCGAGUGGCGCACGGGUGCGUAACACGUAUGCAACCUACCCUAUACAGGCGAAUAACCUUUAGAAAUGAGGGCUAAUACGCCGUAGUAUUACAGAUGGGCAUCUAUUUGUAAUUAAAGAUUUAUCGGUAUAGGAUGGGCAUGCGUCCCAUUAGUUAGUUGGUAAGGUAACGGCUUACCAAGACGAUGAUGGGUAGGGGAUCUGAGAGGACUUACCCCCACACUGGUACUGAGACACGGACCAGACUCCUACGGGAGGCAGCAGUAAGGAAUAUUGGGCAAUGGGCGCGAGGCUGACCCAGCCAUGCCGCGUGCAGGAAGACGGCCUUAUGGGUUGUAAACUGCUUUUAUACGGGAAUAAUAGAGUGUACGCGUACAUUUAUGCAAGUAUCGUAUGAAUAAGCAUCGGCUAACUCCGUG
RNAcentral lists this ribosomal RNA (484 nucleotides) under uncultured bacterium. RNAcentral's name for it is "partial 16S ribosomal RNA". It matches the Rfam family "Bacterial small subunit ribosomal RNA", at positions 28 to 507 of the family's 1533-position model. The record is from RNAcentral.